RNAcentral lists this ribosomal RNA (433 nucleotides) under uncultured bacterium. RNAcentral describes it as "partial 16S ribosomal RNA". It matches the Rfam family "Bacterial small subunit ribosomal RNA", at positions 29 to 507 of the family's 1533-position model. The record is from RNAcentral.
AACGAACGCUGGCGGCAUGCCUAACACAUGCAAGUCGAACGAGACCUUCGGGUCUAGUGGCGCACGGGUGCGUAACGCGUGGGAACCUGCCCUUAGGUUCGGAAUAACUCCCCGAAAGGGGUGCUAAUACCGGAUAAUGUCUUCGGACCAAAGAUUUAUCGCCUUUGGAUGGGCCCGCGUUGGAUUAGCUAGUUGGUAGGGUAAAAGCCUACCAAGGCUACGAUCCAUAGCUGGGUUGAGAGGAUGGUCAGCCACACUGGGACUGAGACACGGCCCAGAAUACUACGGGAAGCAGCAGUGGGGAAUAUUGGACAGUGGGGGAAAGCCUGAUCCAGCAAGGCCGCGUGAGUGAUGAAGGCCUUAGGGUAGUAAAGCUCUUUUACCCGGGAUGAUAAUGACAGUACCGGGAGAAUAAGCUCCGGCUAACUCCGUG